Molecule: ribosomal RNA, 1225 nt
Filed under: Acinetobacter calcoaceticus
Lineage: Bacteria; Pseudomonadati; Pseudomonadota; Gammaproteobacteria; Moraxellales; Moraxellaceae
Description: bacterial SSU rRNA
Rfam family: Bacterial small subunit ribosomal RNA
Source: RNAcentral
UGCAAGUCGAGCGGAGUGAUGGUGCUUGCACUAUCACUUAGCGGCGGACGGGUGAGUAAUGCUUAGGAAUCUGCCUAUUAGUGGGGGACAACAUUUCGAAAGGAAUGCUAAUACCGCAUACGUCCUACGGGAGAAAGCAGGGGAUCUUCGGACCUUGCGCUAAUAGAUGAGCCUAAGUCGGAUUAGCUAGUUGGUGGGGUAAAGGCCUACCAAGGCGACGAUCUGUAGCGGGUCUGAGAGGAUGAUCCGCCACACUGGGACUGAGACACGGCCCAGACUCCUACGGGAGGCAGCAGUGGGGAAUAUUGGACAAUGGGCGCAAGCCUGAUCCAGCCAUGCCGCGUGUGUGAAGAAGGCCUUAUGGUUGUAAAGCACUUUAAGCGAGGAGGAGGCUACUGAAGUUAAUACCUUCAGAUAGUGGACGUUACUCGCAGAAUAAGCACCGGCUAACUCUGUGCCAGCAGCCGCGGUAAUACAGAGGGUGCAAGCGUUAAUCGGAUUUACUGGGCGUAAAGCGCGCGUAGGCGGCUAAUUAAGUCAAAUGUGAAAUCCCCGAGCUUAACUUGGGAAUUGCAUUCGAUACUGGUUAGCUAGAGUGUGGGAGAGGAUGGUAGAAUUCCAGGUGUAGCGGUGAAAUGCGUAGAGAUCUGGAGGAAUACCGAUGGCGAAGGCAGCCAUCUGGCCUAACACUGACGCUGAGGUGCGAAAGCAUGGGGAGCAAACAGGAUUAGAUACCCUGGUAGUCCAUGCCGUAAACGAUGUCUACUAGCCGUUGGGGCCUUUGAGGCUUUAGUGGCGCAGCUAACGCGAUAAGUAGACCGCCUGGGGAGUACGGUCGCAAGACUAAAACUCAAAUGAAUUGACGGGGGCCCGCACAAGCGGUGGAGCAUGUGGUUUAAUUCGAUGCAACGCGAAGAACCUUACCUGGCCUUGACAUAGUAAGAACUUUCCAGAGAUGGAUUGGUGCCUUCGGGAACUUACAUACAGGUGCUGCAUGGCUGUCGUCAGCUCGUGUCGUGAGAUGUUGGGUUAAGUCCCGCAACGAGCGCAACCCUUUUCCUUAUUUGCCAGCGAGUAAUGUCGGGAACUUUAAGGAUACUGCCAGUGACAAACUGGAGGAAGGCGGGGACGACGUCAAGUCAUCAUGGCCCUUACGGCCAGGGCUACACACGUGCUACAAUGGUCGGUACAAAGGGUUGCUACCUAGCGAUAGGAUGCUAAUCUC